GUUGACUGUCUGACAAACCAGUAAAAAGUGCAUUUGUGGCUAGCGGCCUUUCAAACUUUGUGGUUAAAUUGAAACCACGCCAUUUUGCAGUACAGACGUGUUUCCUUUUGAAAAAUUAGAAAUAUGUCGGGCGAGGAAACUUCGGCCGAUCGUAAUGUGGAGAUCUGGAAAAUCAAGAAACUAAUUAAAAGCUUAGAGCUGGCCAGAGGGAAUGGAACGAGUAUGAUAUCUCUUAUUAUUCCACCAAAAGAUCAGAUUUCUAGGGUUAGCAAAAUGUUAGCUGAUGAAUUUGGUACUGCCUCAAAUAUAAAAUCUCGCGUAAAUAGAUUAUCGGUUUUGGGAGCGAUUACUUCUGUACAACAUAGGCUGAAGCUUUAUACAAAAGUGCCCCCAAAUGGGUUAGUAAUUUAUUGUGGAACAAUUGUCACAGAUGAAGGCAAGGAGAAGAAAGUUAACAUUGAUUUUGAACCUUUUAAACCAAUUAAUACUUCUUUGUAUUUAUGUGACAAUAAAUUUCAUACAGAAGCUCUAACAGCAUUGCUUGCUGAUGACAAUAAAUUUGGUUUUAUUGUCAUGGAUGGUAAUGGUGCCUUGUUUGGUACUUUGCAAGGUAAUACUAGGGAGGUGCUUCAUAAAUUUACAGUAGAUUUACCAAAAAAGCAUGGCAGAGGUGGUCAGUCUGCACUUCGUUUUGCUCGUUUAAGAAUGGAGAAACGGCACAACUAUGUUAGAAAGGUUGCUGAAGUAGCCACUCAGCUUUUUAUCACAAAUGACAAGCCAAAUAUUGCUGGACUAAUAUUGGCUGGUAGUGCUGAUUUUAAAACUGAACUUAGUCAGUCAGAUAUGUUUGAUCCUAGACUGCAAGCAAAAGUAAUAAAAUUGGUUGAUGUAUCUUAUGGUGGAGAAAAUGGUUUUAAUCAAGCUAUAGAACUUGCUGCCGAAUCCCUACAAAAUGUGAAAUUUAUCCAAGAAAAGAAGUUGAUUGGCAGGUACUUUGAUGAAAUCAGCCAGGACACAGGGAAAUAUUGCUUUGGUGUUGAGGAUACACUAAGGGGGUUGGAACUAGGAGCAGUGGAGACUUUAAUUUGUUGGGAAAAUUUGGACAUACAACGAUAUGUUUUAAAAAAUCAUACAACGGGAACAGAAACUGUUUUGCAUUUAACCCCUGAACAAGAAAAGGACAAGUCACACUUCACAGAUAAAGAGAGUGGGGUGGAAUUAGAAUUAGUAGAGUGUCAACCACUUCUUGAAUGGCUAGCAAAUAAUUAUAAAAAUUUUGGUGCAACUCUUGAAAUUAUCACCGACAAAUCUCAGGAAGGUUCUCAAUUUGUAAGGGGCUUUGGCGGAAUUGGUGGAAUUCUGCGAUACAAAGUGGACUUUCAGUCUCUGCAAGCUGAUGAGCCACUGGAUGAUGUAGAUCUAGAUGACUACUAAUUGUAUCUAGAGUUCUAUGCUGUCCUGCGACUCAACGAUCCUAACAAUAUACACUCAUCAAGGUUUGCUGAGAUACAAAGUGGACUUCCAGAGCCUGCAACUAGAAGAAUUAGACUCUGUGGACUUUGACCUAGAUGAUUAUUGAAAUUUUUAGUAUGAUUUGAAAUGAAGCAAAAUAUGAGCAGUUGUGUGAAGGGUGCUGUUUCAUUAAUCACUAUAUGUGCAUUCAUUCUUUGCUCAAGUUGCCCAAUCAGGAUGACAACUACCGCCUAAUGUAUAUUUAAAUAAUAUAUUCGAUUUUUUUUUAUUUAAUUUUUAAUCCAGAAAAUUGUUCUAUAGCAUAAUUCAGUUGUAUAUUUUUUUAAUGUAAAGCUCAUAUGCAUUGUGCACAAUCGGUUCUACUACACUUGUCGAUUGAGAUUAUAUUUUAGCGGCACCAAAGAUCCAUGCAGUAAAGAAUUGCAUUUUAUAGCAAUUGGUAAUAUGUCUACACAUAUUUCAAUUUAAUAAAUAUUUUUUAUUUUUUGUGAAAAAUUAAAACCAGGUAGGACAAAGUUCAUAUAUACUGCUCAAUAAAAUUUUGUGUAGUUUCUAUAGUCUAACAAAAAUUUGCAAUUUUUUUAUUAUAAUUGUUUCAAAGAUUAGUUGCCGUUUUUCUGUACUAUUGAGCAAAAAAUUCACAUUCUUAGGUCAAAUCUCUUUUGGUACCAUCACUGUCUGAAGAAAACUAAUUAACUGUCUUGCCUGUGUAGCGGUCUAGAAUUCGCUCCGUUCAGUGUCAUGUAAAGCUGCAGUGAUGGCACAAAGAUCCCAAGAUCUUCAAUUUGUAAUUUUUUAAGCGAAGCAGGUAACAUGCAUUCCAAAUUUAUAUUGAUAUUAUUUUGGACAACAAAAGUCUAUGUCAUAUUUAAGAGUCUAAUACUCUAAACAUAAAGUGGCAAGUGGCUAUUCUGGAUAUGCAACACAUUGUAAGCUCAUCCACCAUGCCCGGAAUUGCAUGCAUAUACUAAAUUUAAUAUAAGUAAUUUUUUAUCGUCUGUAAUUUUUGCCAAAAAAAAACAUAGGAUCCAUUGUGUGUACUGCAAAAACAAACAUUCAUUUGAUAA
This is an RNA transcript of Cylas formicarius (sweet potato weevil), 2540 nucleotides long. It is a transcript of the gene named eukaryotic peptide chain release factor subunit 1, with no coding region annotated. NCBI's taxonomy places the organism in Eukaryota, Metazoa, Arthropoda, Insecta, Coleoptera, Brentidae. The record is from RefSeq and is a predicted model, not a curated record. The transcript has 8 exons.